Molecule: long non-coding RNA, 881 nt
Filed under: Homo sapiens (human)
Lineage: Eukaryota; Metazoa; Chordata; Mammalia; Primates; Hominidae
Description: non-protein coding lnc-ATP5ME-1:21
Source: RNAcentral
GUGACUCGGGCUCCUCAGCAGCCCACGUCCUCCUCACCAUCUCCCAGAACAGAGGCCCACGGAGUACCGCUCGCAGUUGAGGUAGGCCCGCACCGUGUAGAAGGCCUUGUGGAACUGCCUCUCGAUGUCCGUCAGCUCCUCAAACACCUUGUUGGCCGACCACAGCAGCACCUGGAGGGAGGGGCACACCUGUGGGCCUGUGGCCACUCCCACCCUCACGCCGGUCUGACCACAGCAGCAGGGGUUUAACUCAAGCCUGACACAGGUGCGCUCCCUGAUCUGACCACCUGCCCAGCCGUGGAGCCUGGCACAGACCCUGAUUGGUGGCUCCGUGGCCAGGUUUCAUCUGAGCUUGUGGGGCCCGGGAGCUGGCUGGCGGUGAGGCCUCGAGGCUGCGGUCGUGUCCCUGAUCACUCAGGAGUGGACGAGUGGAAAGUGGAAUCUGUCGCUUUGAGCUUGACAGGCAAACAUCCGACCAGCCCUUCCUCCGCCCGGCUGCUCCAGAACCACCUGCGGCGAGCAGGGCUUUGAGAACAUCGGGCCGUGGUUUCCGCACGUCAGGCCGCCUGUGGCCUCCGCCAAGCGUCUGAGAGUGAAGCAUUGCUGACGCACUCCACGAGGUCCUGGCCAGACCCCACUCAGGACAUCCCGCUGCACAGGCCCCUGGUUGCUGGGUCAGCGCUGCCACCAGGCUCAGACUCACCCCAGGGCCCUCCUUGGGCCACCUUUCUCUGCCUCCUUGGUCAAGGCCCAGACCCAGGCCCCACCAGGCCCUGCCUCCUCACACUCGCGGCGGCCGCUGGGUCUUCUACCGCAUGGUGCCAGCUCCCUCUCCUCCGCUGCGGUGUCCUAGCCCAGCUCUCUCCCUGCCAGGCCCUCUG